RNAcentral lists this ribosomal RNA (501 nucleotides) under uncultured bacterium. RNAcentral's name for it is "partial 16S ribosomal RNA". It matches the Rfam family "Bacterial small subunit ribosomal RNA", at positions 28 to 523 of the family's 1533-position model. The record is from RNAcentral.
GAUGAACGCUAGCGACAGGCUUAACACAUGCAAGUCGAGGGGCAGCACAGGUAGCAACACCGGGUGGCGACCGGCGCACGGGUGAGUCACGCGUAUGCAACUUGCCUAUCAGAGGGGAAUAACCCGGCGAAAGUCGGACUAAUACCGCAUGCAGCAGGGGCCCCGCAUGGGGAUAUUUGCUAACGAUUCAUCGCUGAUAGAUAGGCAUGCGUUCCAUUAGGCAGUUGGCGGGGUAACGGCCCACCAAACCGACGAGGGAUAGGGGUUCUGAGAGGAAGGUCCCCCACAUUGGUACUGAGACACGGACCAAACUCCUACGGGAGGCAGCAGUGAGGAAUAUUGGUCAAUGGGCGCGAGCCUGAACCAGCCAAGUCGCGUGAGGGAUGAAGGUUCUAUGGAUCGUAAACCUCUUUUAUAAGGGAAUAAAGUGCGGGACGUGUCCCGUUUUGUAUGUACCUUAUGAAUAAGGAUCGGCUAACUCCGUGCCAGCAGCCGCCGUAA